This 515-nucleotide ribosomal RNA is filed under the name uncultured bacterium. RNAcentral's name for it is "partial 16S ribosomal RNA". It matches the Rfam family "Bacterial small subunit ribosomal RNA", at positions 28 to 523 of the family's 1533-position model. The record is from RNAcentral.
GAUGAACGCUGGCGGCGUGCCUAAUACAUGCAAGUCGAGCGAAUGGAUUAAGAGCUUGCUCUUAUGAAGUUAGCGGCGGACGGGUGAGUAACACGUGGGUAACCUGCCCAUAAGACUGGGAUAACUCCGGGAAACCGGGGCUAAUACCGGAUAACAUUUUGAACCGCAUGGUUCGAAAUUGAAAGGCGGCUUCGGCUGUCACUUAUGGAUGGACCCGCGUCGCAUUAGCUAGUUGGUGAGGUAACGGCUCACCAAGGCAACGAUGCGUAGCCGACCUGGUAGGGUGAUCGGCCACACUGGGACUGAGACACGGCCCAGACUCCUACGGGAGGCAGCAGUAGGGAAUCUUCCGCAAUGGACGAAAGUCUGACGGAGCAACGCCGCGUGAGUGAGGAAGGCUUUCGGGUCGUAAAACUCUGUUGUUAGGGAAGAACAAGUGCUAGUUGUAUAAGCUGGCACCUUGACGGUACCUAACCAGAAAGCCACGGCUAACUACGUGCCAGCCGCCGCGGUAA